UCCGAAGGGAGCUAUCGUUGUUCGGAAUCACUGGGCGUAAAGCGCACGUAGGUGCACAGUUAAGUCAGGGGUGAAAGCCCGAGGCUCAACCUCGGAAUUGCCUCUGAUACUGGCUGUCUCGAGUCCGAGAGAGGUGGGUGGAAUUCCUAGUGUAGAGGUGAAAUUCGUAGAUAUUAGGAAGAACACCGGUGGCGAAGGCGGCCCACUGGCUCGGUACUGACACUGAGGUGCGAAAGCGUGGGGAGCAAACAGG
Molecule: ribosomal RNA, 253 nt
Filed under: uncultured bacterium
Lineage: Bacteria
Description: partial 16S ribosomal RNA
Rfam family: Bacterial small subunit ribosomal RNA
Source: RNAcentral